Molecule: long non-coding RNA, 551 nt
Filed under: Coturnix japonica (Japanese quail)
Lineage: Eukaryota; Metazoa; Chordata; Aves; Galliformes; Phasianidae
Description: lncRNA (ENSCJPG00005019799.1)
Source: RNAcentral
CGCUCGCCGCCGCUGCCGACCCUCAACCGCCAGAGGAUGGGGGGGGGCUGGUUAAAGGGAGGAUGUGAGGGGGGUGAAGGAGGGAGGAAAUGUCACGCUCGGCGGGAGCGAGGGGACGGAGGGACAGCGAGCAACGCCGGCUGUCAAGCAGAGCAGUUGCCAAGUGAUCUUCUCCACAGCACCCACGAACUUUGGCCUUACACUGAAGAGGACUCAUCAAAUGGUGAGAAGUGUGUGGAGGAACGGGUCCUGCGCUCACUGUUGUUACUCCCACAUAGGCGGACUCUGUAACUGAUUAUAUGUGGGUAGGGCCCUAUUGAAAUUAAGGAGAUCCUACAGUAGUGCGGGGUUCUGUUUGUGUGACCCUACUGUGCCUUCUUACUGUGAAUUCUGUCAGUGUAUCAUGGGUUGUGCUGGAACCUGCCUUUUGGGAUAAUGUAAGUUUUGCUUUUCCCCCAAAUGUACUUUAGACGUGAAAUAAUCAUUAUUAAAAAAAAUAAUGUUUUGAAUUAGAAAAUAAAUAUAAUUUACAUGCGUUCUUUUAAUUAUGU